This 424-nucleotide ribosomal RNA is filed under the name Verrucomicrobiota bacterium. RNAcentral's name for it is "Verrucomicrobia bacterium partial 16S ribosomal RNA". It matches the Rfam family "Bacterial small subunit ribosomal RNA", at positions 355 to 776 of the family's 1533-position model. The record is from RNAcentral. Lineage: Bacteria; Pseudomonadati; Verrucomicrobiota.
UGAGGAAUAUUGGUCAAUGGGCGUGAGCCUGAACCAGCCAAGUUGCGUGCAGGAAGACGGCCCUAUGGGUUGUAAACUGCUUUUAUGCGGGGAUAAAGGAGUCCACGUGUGGAUUUUUGCAGGUACCGCAUGAAUAAGGACCGGCUAAUUCCGUGCCAGCAGCCGCGGUAAUACGGAAGGUCCGGGCGUUAUCCGGAUUUAUUGGGUUUAAAGGGAGCGUAGGCCGCGUUUUAAGCGUGUUGUGAAAUGUAGACGCCCAACGUCUGCAUCGCAGCGCGAACUGGGACGCUUGAGUACGCGCAACGUUGGCGGAAUUCGUCGUGUAGCGGUGAAAUGCUUAGAUAUGACGUGGAACUCCGAUUGCGAAGGCAGCUGACGGGAGCGGCACUGACGCUUAAGCUCGAAGGUGCGGGUAUCAAACAGG